RNAcentral lists this ribosomal RNA (253 nucleotides) under uncultured bacterium. Its description in RNAcentral is "partial 16S ribosomal RNA". It matches the Rfam family "Bacterial small subunit ribosomal RNA", at positions 524 to 776 of the family's 1533-position model. The record is from RNAcentral.
UACGUAGGUGGCGAGCGUUGUCCGGAAUUACUGGGCGUAAAGCGUGCGUAGUCGGUAUUGAGAGUCGCGGGUGAAAUCCCAGGGCUUAACCCUGGAACUGCCUGCGAGACCUCAGUACUAGAGUGUGAGAGGGGAUAGUGGAAUACCAAGUGUAGCGGUGAAAUGCGUAGAGAUUUGGUGGAACACCGGUGGCGAAGGCGGCUAUCUGGCUCACAACUGACGAUCAGGCACGAAAGCGUGGGGAGCAAACAGG